This 403-nucleotide ribosomal RNA is filed under the name Verrucomicrobiota bacterium. RNAcentral describes it as "Verrucomicrobia bacterium partial 16S ribosomal RNA". It matches the Rfam family "Bacterial small subunit ribosomal RNA", at positions 355 to 776 of the family's 1533-position model. The record is from RNAcentral. Lineage: Bacteria; Pseudomonadati; Verrucomicrobiota.
UGGGGAAUAUUGCGCAAUGGGGGAAACCCUGACGCAGCAACGCCGCGUGCGGGAUGAAGGCCUUCGGGUUGUAAACCGCUUUCAGCAGGGAAGACAUCGACGGUACCUGCAGAAGAAGCCCCGGCUAACUACGUGCCAGCAGCCGCGGUAAUACGUAGGGGGCGAGCGUUAUCCGGAUUCAUUGGGCGUAAAGCGCGCGCAGGCGGUUGCUCAAGCGGAACCUCUAAUCUCGGGGCUUAACCUCGAGCCGGGUUCCGAACUGGACGACUCGAGUGCGGUAGAGGCAGAUGGAAUUCCCGGUGUAGCGGUGGAAUGCGCAGAUAUCGGGAAGAACACCAACGGCGAAGGCAGUCUGCUGGGCCGUCACUGACGCUGAGGCGCGAAAGCGUGGGGAGCAAACAGG